UGAAAGAGAAGUGGAGAGAGUAGUGGAAGAAGGAAGAGAGAAAGAAGAGAAGUUUAUGUUCUCUCUCACAAACUCCAUUUUCGUAUUCCAUGGACAGCUCUCACUAAUCUGAUCAUAACUCUCUGCUCACAACUCCGAUUCAGAAAAACGAGUUUGAAGUUGGAAGAUCCAUGCUGAAUGUGUGUCAAAGAUUGGCUACGGGUUUGAUGAAGAUGUAGUGAAACUUUGGCUAUGGUGGGAGUUCAAUGGCAGCAAAGAACUUCUUUCUAACCUCCCUAAAUCCAAGGUGCAGUUUAGUAGCGUUUGACAGAUAGCAGGUUCGAAUUGACGACUUAAAGUGGUGAUGGCUCGGAGACCUCGUCAGAUCUCAUUUUCCGUUGUGCAGAUCCAUGAAGACACAU
Long non-coding RNA from Vicia villosa (hairy vetch), 401 nucleotides. RefSeq lists it as uncharacterized. The transcript has 3 exons. NCBI's taxonomy places the organism in Eukaryota, Viridiplantae, Streptophyta, Magnoliopsida, Fabales, Fabaceae. The record is from RefSeq and is a predicted model, not a curated record.